Molecule: transfer RNA, 67 nt
Filed under: Chironax melanocephalus
Lineage: Eukaryota; Metazoa; Chordata; Mammalia; Chiroptera; Pteropodidae
Description: tRNA-Val
Source: RNAcentral
CAAGGUGUAGCUUAUACAAAGCAUCUGGCCUACGCCCGGAAGAUUCCACAUAAAGUGGCCACUUUGA